AGUCGAACGAGAAUCUGACGAAGGAGUUUUCGGACAACUGAUUCAGAGGAAAGUGGCGGACGGGUGAGUAACGCGUGAGGAACCUGCCUUGAAGAGGGGGACAACAGUUGGAAACGACUGCUAAUACCGCAUGAAGCAUAGAGGUCGCAUGAUCUUUAUGCCAAAGAUUUAUCGCUUCAAGAUGGCCUCGCGUCUGAUUAGCUAGUUGGCGGGGUAACGGCCCACCAAGGCGACGAUCAGUAGCCGGACUGAGAGGUUGAACGGCCACAUUGGGACUGAGAUACGGCCCAGACUCCUACGGGAGGCAGCAGUGGGGAAUAUUGGGCAAUGGGCGCAAGCCUGACCCAGCAACGCCGCGUGAAGGAAGAAGGCUUUCGGGUUGUAAACUUCUUUUAAGAGGGAAGAGCAGAAGACGGUACCUCUAGAAUAAGCCACGGCUAACUACGUGCCAGCAGCCGCGGUAAUACGUAGGUGGCAAGCGUUGUCCGGAUUUACUGGGUGUAAAGGGCGUGCAGCCGGGUCUGCAAGUCAGAUGUGAAAUCCAUGGGCUCAACCCAUGAACUGCAUUUGAAACUGUAGAUCUUGAGUGUCGGAGGGGCAAUCGGAAUUCCUAGUGUAGCGGUGAAAUGCGUA
This 633-nucleotide ribosomal RNA is filed under the name uncultured bacterium. Its description in RNAcentral is "bacterial SSU rRNA". It matches the Rfam family "Bacterial small subunit ribosomal RNA", at positions 60 to 692 of the family's 1533-position model. The record is from RNAcentral.